GCCCAGACUCCUACGGGAGGCAGCAGUGGGGGAUAUUGCACAAUGGGGGAAACCCUGAUGCAGCGACGCCGCGUGUAGGAAGACGGUCCUCUGGAUUGUAAACUACUGUCCCCAGGGACGAAGAUGACGGUACCUGGCGAAGAAGCCCCGGCUAACUACGUGCCAGCAGCCGCGGUAAUACGUAGGGGGCAAGCGUUAUCCGGAUUCACUGGGUGUAAAGGGAGCGCAGGCGGUACGGCGAGUCUGAUGUGAAAACCCGGGGCCCAACCCCGGGACCGCACCGGAUACUGCCGGACUCGAGUGCCGGAGGGGCAGGCGGAAUUCCUGGUGUAGCGGUGAAAUGCGCAGAUAUCAGGAGGAACACCGGUGGCGAAGGCGGCCUGCUGGACGGUAACUGACGCUGAGGCUCGAAAGCGUGGGGAGCGAACAGGAUUAGAUACCCUAGUA
This 447-nucleotide ribosomal RNA is filed under the name uncultured bacterium. Its description in RNAcentral is "bacterial SSU rRNA". It matches the Rfam family "Bacterial small subunit ribosomal RNA", at positions 329 to 792 of the family's 1533-position model. The record is from RNAcentral.